RNAcentral lists this ribosomal RNA (288 nucleotides) under uncultured bacterium. RNAcentral's name for it is "partial 16S ribosomal RNA". It matches the Rfam family "Bacterial small subunit ribosomal RNA", at positions 773 to 1060 of the family's 1533-position model. The record is from RNAcentral.
GUGGAUUAGAUACCCUGGUAGUCCACGCUGUAAACGAUGAAUGCUAGAUGUCGGGCUGAUAGGUUCGGUAUCGGAGCUAACGUGGUAAGCAUUCCGCCUGGGGAGUACGGUCGCAAGAUUAAAACUCAAAGGAAUUGACGGGGGCCCGCACAAGCGGUGGAGUAUGUGGUUUAAUGCGACGCAACGCGCAGAACCUUACCAACCUUUGACAUGGGUAUCGAGGAAUUUGGAGACAGAUUUCAUCAUUUAGUUGGAUACCACACAGGUGCUGCAUGGUUGUCGACAACU